Molecule: ribosomal RNA, 2451 nt
Filed under: Escherichia coli
Lineage: Bacteria; Pseudomonadati; Pseudomonadota; Gammaproteobacteria; Enterobacterales; Enterobacteriaceae
Description: partial 23S ribosomal RNA
Rfam family: Bacterial large subunit ribosomal RNA
Source: RNAcentral
CAUAGGUUAAUGAGGCGAACCGGGGGAACUGAAACAUCUAAGUACCCCGAGGAAAAGAAAUCAACCGAGAUUCCCCCAGUAGCGGCGAGCGAACGGGGAGCAGCCCAGAGCCUGAAUCAGUGUGUGUGUUAGUGGAAGCGUCUGGAAAGGCGCGCGAUACAGGGUGACAGCCCCGUACACAAAAAUGCACAUGCUGUGAGCUCGAUGAGUAGGGCGGGACACGUGGUAUCCUGUCUGAAUAUGGGGGGACCAUCCUCCAAGGCUAAAUACUCCUGACUGACCGAUAGUGAACCAGUACCGUGAGGGAAAGGCGAAAAGAACCCCGGCGAGGGGAGUGAAAAAGAACCUGAAACCGUGUACGUACAAGCAGUGGGAGCACGCUUAGGCGUGUGACUGCGUACCUUUUGUAUAAUGGGUCAGCGACUUAUAUUCUGUAGCAAGGUUAACCGAAUAGGGGAGCCGAAGGGAAACCGAGUCUUAACUGGGCGUUAAGUUGCAGGGUAUAGACCCGAAACCCGGUGAUCUAGCCAUGGGCAGGUUGAAGGUUGGGUAACACUAACUGGAGGACCGAACCGACUAAUGUUGAAAAAUUAGCGGAUGACUUGUGGCUGGGGGUGAAAGGCCAAUCAAACCGGGAGAUAGCUGGUUCUCCCCGAAAGCUAUUUAGGUAGCGCCUCGUGAAUUCAUCUCCGGGGGUAGAGCACUGUUUCGGCAAGGGGGUCAUCCCGACUUACCAACCCGAUGCAAACUGCGAAUACCGGAGAAUGUUAUCACGGGAGACACACGGCGGGUGCUAACGUCCGUCGUGAAGAGGGAAACAACCCAGACCGCCAGCUAAGGUCCCAAAGUCAUGGUUAAGUGGGAAACGAUGUGGGAAGGCCCAGACAGCCAGGAUGUUGGCUUAGAAGCAGCCAUCAUUUAAAGAAAGCGUAAUAGCUCACUGGUCGAGUCGGCCUGCGCGGAAGAUGUAACGGGGCUAAACCAUGCACCGAAGCUGCGGCAGCGACGCUUAUGCGUUGUUGGGUAGGGGAGCGUUCUGUAAGCCUGCGAAGGUGUGCUGUGAGGCAUGCUGGAGGUAUCAGAAGUGCGAAUGCUGACAUAAGUAACGAUAAAGCGGGUGAAAAGCCCGCUCGCCGGAAGACCAAGGGUUCCUGUCCAACGUUAAUCGGGGCAGGGUGAGUCGACCCCUAAGGCGAGGCCGAAAGGCGUAGUCGAUGGGAAACAGGUUAAUAUUCCUGUACUUGGUGUUACUGCGAAGGGGGGACGGAGAAGGCUAUGUUGGCCGGGCGACGGUUGUCCCGGUUUAAGCGUGUAGGCUGGUUUUCCAGGCAAAUCCGGAAAAUCAAGGCUGAGGCGUGAUGACGAGGCACUACGGUGCUGAAGCAACAAAUGCCCUGCUUCCAGGAAAAGCCUCUAAGCAUCAGGUAACAUCAAAUCGUACCCCAAACCGACACAGGUGGUCAGGUAGAGAAUACCAAGGCGCUUGAGAGAACUCGGGUGAAGGAACUAGGCAAAAUGGUGCCGUAACUUCGGGAGAAGGCACGCUGAUAUGUAGGUGAAGUCCCUCGCGGAUGGAGCUGAAAUCAGUCGAAGAUACCAGCUGGCUGCAACUGUUUAUUAAAAACACAGCACUGUGCAAACACGAAAGUGGACGUAUACGGUGUGACGCCUGCCCGGUGCCGGAAGGUUAAUUGAUGGGGUCAGCGCAAGCGAAGCUCUUGAUCGAAGCCCCGGUAAACGGCGGCCGUAACUAUAACGGUCCUAAGGUAGCGAAAUUCCUUGUCGGGUAAGUUCCGACCUGCACGAAUGGCGUAAUGAUGGCCAGGCUGUCUCCACCCGAGACUCAGUGAAAUUGAACUCGCUGUGAAGAUGCAGUGUACCCGCGGCAAGACGGAAAGACCCCGUGAACCUUUACUAUAGCUUGACACUGAACAUUGAGCCUUGAUGUGUAGGAUAGGUGGGAGGCUUUGAAGUGUGGACGCCAGUCUGCAUGGAGCCGACCUUGAAAUACCACCCUUUAAUGUUUGAUGUUCUAACGUUGACCCGUAAUCCGGGUUGCGGACAGUGUCUGGUGGGUAGUUUGACUGGGGCGGUCUCCUCCUAAAGAGUAACGGAGGAGCACGAAGGUUGGCUAAUCCUGGUCGGACAUCAGGAGGUUAGUGCAAUGGCAUAAGCCAGCUUGACUGCGAGCGUGACGGCGCGAGCAGGUGCGAAAGCAGGUCAUAGUGAUCCGGUGGUUCUGAAUGGAAGGGCCAUCGCUCAACGGAUAAAAGGUACUCCGGGGAUAACAGGCUGAUACCGCCCAAGAGUUCAUAUCGACGGCGGUGUUUGGCACCUCGAUGUCGGCUCAUCACAUCCUGGGGCUGAAGUAGGUCCCAAGGGUAUGGCUGUUCGCCAUUUAAAGUGGUACGCGAGCUGGGUUUAGAACGUCGUGAGACAGUUCGGUCCCUA